CAAAGGUGAGCCAGUACAGGAUGGACCCGCGUCUGAUUAGCUAGUUGGUAAGGUAACGGCUUACCAAGGCGACGAUCAGUAGCCGACCUGAGAGGGUGAUCGGCCACAUUGGAACUGAGACACGGUCCAAACUCCUACGGGAGGCAGCAGUGGGGAAUAUUGCACAAUGGGCGAAAGCCUGAUGCAGCAACGCCGCGUGAGUGAUGAAGGCCUUCGGGUCGUAAAACUCUGUCCUCAAGGAAGAUAAUGACGGUACUUGAGGAGGAAGCCCCGGCUAACUACGUGCCAGCAGCCGCGGUAAUACGUAGGGGGCUAACGUUAUCCGGAUUUACUGGGCGUAAAGGGUGCGUAGGCGGUCUUUCAAGUCAGGAGUGAAAGGCUACGGCUCAACCGUAGUAAGCUCUUGAAACUGGGAGACUUGAGUGCAGGAGAGGAGAGUGGAAUUCCUAGUGUAGCGGUGAAAUGCGUAGAUAUUAGGAGGAACACCAGUUGCGAAGGCGGCUCUCUGGACUGUAACUGACGCUGAGGCACGAAAGCGUGGGGAGCAAACAGGAUUAGAUACCCUGGUAGUCCACGCUGUAAACGAUGAGUACUAGGUGUCGGGGGUUACCCCCUUCGGUGCCGC
This 625-nucleotide ribosomal RNA is filed under the name uncultured bacterium. Its description in RNAcentral is "bacterial SSU rRNA". It matches the Rfam family "Bacterial small subunit ribosomal RNA", at positions 202 to 849 of the family's 1533-position model. The record is from RNAcentral.